RNAcentral lists this ribosomal RNA (460 nucleotides) under uncultured bacterium. Its description in RNAcentral is "partial 16S ribosomal RNA". It matches the Rfam family "Bacterial small subunit ribosomal RNA", at positions 338 to 795 of the family's 1533-position model. The record is from RNAcentral.
CCUACGGGAGGCAGCAGUGAGGAAUAUUGGUCAAUGGACGAGAGUCUGAACCAGCCAAGUAGCGUGAAGGAUGACUGCCCUAUGGGUUGUAAACUUCUUUUAUAAAGGAAUAAAACAAGGCACGCGUGCCGUUUCGCAUGUACUUUAUGAAUAAGCAUCGGCUAACUCCGUGCCAGCAGCCGCGGUAAUACGGAGGAUCCGAGCGUUAUCCGGAUUUAUUUGGUUUAAAUGGGUCGGAGAUGGGUUGUUAAGUCAGUUGUGAAAGUUUGCGGCUCAACCUUAAAAGUGCAAUUGAUACUGGCCGUCUUGAGUACAGUUGAGGUAGGCGGAAUUCGUGGUGUAGCGGUGAAAUGCUUAGAUAUCACGAAGAACCCCGAUUGCGAAGGCAGCUUACUAACCUGUGACUGACAUUGAUGCUCGAAAGUGUGGGUAUCAAACAGGAUUAGAUACCCUAGUAGUC